Molecule: ribosomal RNA, 469 nt
Filed under: uncultured bacterium
Lineage: Bacteria
Description: partial 16S ribosomal RNA
Rfam family: Bacterial small subunit ribosomal RNA
Source: RNAcentral
GACGAACGCUGGCGGCGUGCUUAGCACAUGCAAGUCGAACGGAAAGGCCCUGCUUUUGUGGGGUGCUCGAGUGGCGAACGGGUGAGUAACACGUGAGUAACCUGCCCUUGACUUUGGGAUAACUUCAGGAAACUGGGGCUAAUACCGGAUAGGAGCUCCUGCUGCAUGGUGGGGGUUGGAAAGUUUCGGCGGUUGGGGAUGGACUCGCGGCUUAUCAGCUUGUUGGUGGGGUAGUGGCUUACCAAGGCUUUGACGGGUAGCCGGCCUGAGAGGGUGACCGGCCACAUUGGGACUGAGAUACGGCCCAGACUCCUACGGGAGGCAGCAGUGGGGAAUAUUGCACAAUGGGCGGAAGCCUGAUGCAGCAACGCCGCGUGCGGGAUGACGGCCUUCGGGUUGUAAACCGCUUUCGCCUGUGACGAAGCGUGAGUGACGGUAAUGGGUAAAGAAGCACCGGCUAACUACGGGC